GGUUCUUCUCCGUUCCUCCCACUCGCCGCCGCCACCUCCCGAGCCCCAGGCGCUCCAGCACCCGGAGCUCCCCCGCCCAUCGCCCACCAUGGUAAGCGAGUACCGCCGAUGCUCAAUCAGCCGCCGCACCUUUGGAUUCCGUCUGCUCUGUUGCCAGUGUUAAUCUCGCGUUCUUUUCUUUCUUCUCCCGCAGAUCAUCCCCAAGAAGAACCGCAAUGAGAUCUGCAAGUACCUCUUCAAGGGUAAGAAAUUCCUGCCCCUUCUACAUGCAGUAGAGAGUAGCAGUAUGUUUCUAUGCGAUGUUUCUUUGUCUGGAGGGGAAAGAUCCAUUAAUCUUUGCUAGAGUAGCACUAGUCUCUAGUGGAACAACUGCCCUCCCGGAGAUAGAUUAGCAGUAUGGUAUUUAGAGUUCGAUUUAUUGACGAAAUUUGCGACACCCUAUAAUCUUCGGAAUAGGAUUUACCAGGUCAACAGAGCAUUUUUAGGACAUGAUUUGUCUUCAAAUAUUUUGAUGCUAGUGACCUUUGAAACGAUAUCGGUUCUUGUUUGUUAGAGAUUUAGAGAAAUGGAGGAAUGUGAUAAUUAGUCACUGGAGCUUUUGCUCACUUGAUGUAUGUGUUGCUGCAGAGGGCGUGCUGUACGCCAAGAAGGACUACAACCUGGCGAAGCACCCGCAGAUCGAUGUGCCCAACCUGCAGGUGAUCAAGCUCAUGCAGAGCUUCAAGUCCAAGGAGUACGUCAGGGAGACCUUCUCGUGGCAGUACUACUACUGGUACCUCACCAACGAUGGCAUUGAGCACCUGCGCAACUACCUCAACCUGCCAUCUGAGAUCGUGCCUGCCACGCUGAAGAAGUCUGCCAGGCCGCCUGGCCGUCCGUUUGGCUCUGGCCCUCCUGGUGACCGCCCAAGGUAAAGCUUUUUCUUUCUAUCUUGAGGCUUUGUUAUAUCCACGUUAAAUUGUGCACUCAACAAACAUGUGAUAUGAUUCUGGAUGUUUGCUGCACGUGUCUGGUGAUAAUUCAGUUGGAGAAGUACAACCACAUCAUUAGUAGUGUUGUGUGUUUCCAAUUUUGAUAGGAAAUUUCAUCAUCUGAUAGGAUCAUGUGCUUGUAUUUGCCCAUUGUGUUAUGCUACACAAUCUUUACUAGGAAUUUGUCAGUAGCUGAGGUGUUGUCAGAAUUAGACAUGCGUGCCACUUAUGCAGCUUGUUGUUGCACGAGUUAAAUCAAACAUACAUUUAAAUUAAAGAACUGUGGGUUUGUGGUGCUUAUUUGUACCUAGUUAUAAUUUGUUUGAUUGAAUCUGUUCUUGGGUGUAGCGCAUUGUUGUAGUGCUUCAAGAAUAUAUGGGUAGAUUAAGCUAAUUUUAGGGCAACUAGGAAGAUAACAUCUACAGAAUGCUCAGUUUUGUAUUAUUUGUAGAUACUUUACUUAUCCUGUUGCCCUCUUUUUAGAAAUUGAACGAGGUAAUUUAAUUUUUUGUCGUUGCUUGUAAUGUUUGCAGGGGCCCACCUCGCUUUGAAGACAGGCCAAGGUUUGGUGAGAGGGAUGGGUACCGUGGUGGUCCUCGUGGUGCUCCUGGUGACUUCGGUGGUGAGAAGGGCGGAGCUCCUGCAGAGUUCCAGCCAUCUUUUAGGGUAAUUGUUUUCUUCACUAGUUUUGAACAUUAUUGAUGCAAAUCUGCAAUUGUUCUUCCACAUAUUGCUGCGCGCUUCACCGUGCUGCAUUUGGUCUUAGCCCCACUUUGAUCAUUUAUUUAAAAAAGAAGCUAUCAGCAUGGUUUAAAUCGUAGAUCAUAAUGUUUACUCUAUUUUUUAUAUGCUCAGAGCUUGAAUUAAGUCAUGAUCACCAGUUAAUUUACAGACAAAGCAGAGGCACAUUCUAGACUUAGUUUGACCCUUGCUGCACCUGCUGUCUUGCAUUGGCCCCUUGAGCUGUUCUUGCCCUUUCUAUUGUGUAACUUGUCAGACAAAUUAGCAAUGUGAAACAUGAGUUGGUCAGGAAUUUGCACUGUUGGCGGGAGUUGCUUUAUGGAAGAGUUCCUUGCUUUUUCCCUAUAUUCUAGGGAUGUUGAAUGGACUAUUAGGUUGCAAACUAUCAUGCACCAUCUGUUUCAUGAAUGCUAAUGUUUAUUUCCAUCCCACAAACUCUGCAGGGUUCUGGUGGCAGACCUGGCUUUGGCCGUGGCGGCGGCAGCGGCUUUGGUGCUGGCCCAACCUCUUCAUCCAUGGAGUGAAGUUGCCCCUAGUUUGGACAUGGUGUUUCCCUUCGCGCGAGGCGUUUAAUUUUGAAGGACAGUUAUUAUGUACUAGUAAUGUUAUCCGGAUCGGCAAGUGCUGACAUAUGCAGAAAAAUUGUGCUAUCUUGAUACCUUGGUUCCAGUAUAAUAGU
RNAcentral lists this long non-coding RNA (2391 nucleotides) under Setaria viridis. RNAcentral describes it as "long non-coding RNA (SVIR_LNC008319)". The record is from RNAcentral. Lineage: Eukaryota; Viridiplantae; Streptophyta; Magnoliopsida; Poales; Poaceae.